UAUUAAAACGACGUCCAAAACAGAACUCACAAGAAAAAAUAUCCAUGAUUUUUAUGCUUUUAAAUUCUGUGCUCAUCUUCCCCACCACUCCCUUGUUUACUCAUUAAAGAGUAGUAUCAACAAUUUUGAAUGGUUUAAUGAGAAGAAGGCGACGAGCAAAGCAGGAGCGUGAUGGAAAUGGAAGAGACGCCCAGAAAAAUGAGCUGGUGUUGAGGAGCUCAGGCACUCUCAAUUCUGCUUCUGUUUUCUCAAAGAGAGGCCACAGGGCCACCAACCAAGACCGCUGCAUUGUUUGGGAGGUUCCAAAUUCAAUUGGAUUUGUGUUGGGAGCUCUGCAGCUGCUGCUUUAUGCCAUUUACAGAAAACCUACAAAUUCAGAUAAAUUUCCACCCACGGUCUUCCAACUGUUGACUUCGACUUCAUAUCUCUAAGUUCUUAUAAUUUUUAGUACUAUUGUAUGAUUAAAUUAAAGAGUCCCUUUUUAAUUUUUGUACUAUAUUUUGAUAUCUAUCCAUAAAUGUUUUUGUGAUUGUAAGACCGAGCAUAUACCAACAAAGAUAUAUUCUUAUUUGAUUGAAGAAAUUUUAUUUUA
Salvia splendens (bonfire salvia) is the source of this 592-nucleotide long non-coding RNA. RefSeq lists it as uncharacterized. The transcript has 3 exons. The record is from RefSeq and is a predicted model, not a curated record. Lineage: Eukaryota; Viridiplantae; Streptophyta; Magnoliopsida; Lamiales; Lamiaceae.